GCUCAGCGGCAUAAGCAUCUGCCUUGCAAGCAGGCGGUCGUGAGUUCGAUCCCUGGUACUGAUAAAAACGAAAAAAAAAAAAAAAAAAAAAAAAACCCACAGGGAGUGGGGCCUAAAGAUACAGCUCAAUAUAAAGGCCUGUGUUCAAUCCCCCUACCACAAAUAAUAAUAAUGUAAUAAAAAAGGAGGUUGUCGCUGUUCACCAAAAGCAACACAGGUACCUUUUUUCCAGUGAACACCCAUCUCCGAAGUUUUCUUACUGUUAGGAGGAGGCAAAGUUUGUUAAUGCUGCUGAGACAGGUUGUAGCCCAGGCAGGCCUUGAACUCACAGUGCUCCUUCUGCCUCAGUCUCCACUGAGUGCUAGGAUGACAGGUGUGCCCCACCACACGUGGCCUCGUCCUUUUCAGCGUCGCCGAUAAAAAGCCUGACUCACAGCAGAUGGAGACUGGGAGUUGUGUCAGACUGAACUCCCAAGCUACAAAAGCCUUCAGAGUUACACCCCUGGGAGAAAUGCUGGUGCGUGGCUACAUCAGCCCUGUCUGGACACGUCUUCCAGCUGACUAGCUCAGGAAGCCGCGCUCAACAUUUCAUUAACAGCACAACCCCCUGAGAUUCAAAAGGAUGUUCACUGCGGCUUGAUGGGCAUCACCAGGCUGACGCGGAGUAUCUGGGCCCAAGGAGUCACCUCCGGCAUGGUGACUUAGUACCUGGGUCCCUUGGUGACAGCAGCCCUGCAAAACUCACCAGGCAGGACGAGCCCACCACACAGAGCCCCGCAAAAGCUCCUCCUCAGGGAGGACUGUGCGCUCCACGCUGUGACUACCAUUCUUUAUGCACUCAGCAAACACAGCCAGAGGCCCUCGGGGUGCUGGGCUCAGUGCUGCACAAUCCCAACAGGAAGAGCCCAUGAAGGAUAGUGCAGAGCUGGGCCACGGGGGAGGGCCAUGGGAGGCACUGGCACCACACAGGCGGCGCCCCACUCCCAGCCUCCCACGCUCCUCAAGCUCAAGGUCAAAACAUCUAUUGUGUAAGACGGGAGCAGCUGGGCCUGAAGAAAAGGAAGCCAAAAGCAAAGCAAAGACCUUGCUGGGAUUCCCGGGGCCGCGCCAAGGCCCCAGCGUAGCACAGAGCCAGCAGGUCCAGGGCAUCAGGGACUGGAGCAGUGGACCUUCGGAGCAGCCAUGAAGCAGCUAGAGCACUCAGUCUCACGCUAGGGCGAAAAGAAAUCACUGAGCUACCACAAUCUGGACUGGUUCCCUGGAGGACCUUGCGAAAAAGAAACCUCUGCUGCCUGUCCAGAACCUCGGCCUUCAGUGAGCCUCUGGUCUUCCCAGAGUGAAGCAGCGCUCUCCCUGACAUAUGUAAAUAAGAUAAAAGGGGCAUGCAACCUCUUGGCCAAUCACAUAGCUCCUUGUAACCUCUAGACCAAUUAUAUACCUUCUUGUAACCUCCUGACCAAUCAUGUCCCUCCAUCACCCCGCCAUAUGCAAAAGAAUGUGAAACUCAGGGUAACUUGUGGUCCAGUCAAUUAACAACAAGCGCCUGGACCUGUGCUUCCUACUUGCCUGUAUACUCUUUUUUGAAAACAAAACAAAAAAAUAAGUAAAACAUAGGGCCUGACUGGUGAGCGAACCUGGCCAGGCCCGCCGGCGUACAUAAUACACCUGUGUACAUGCCUUGGAUCCCCACCCCCGUGUGCCAAAUGCUGUGGGGUUUUUGCACUGUCUGCUGCAACAAUUGUGGCGAGCUGUGUAACACUGUGUCACACUUUGAUUGCAACAGUGAGGUUCUGAGCCGCCCUGGCAGGGAGGCGUUGAGAGGUGCACAGUGAUCACAGAACGAAAAUCCCAAUGGGAGGGGUGCAGGGACCCUGCAAAGGUGAGGCCACACCAGGGGGGAGGAAGCAGCAGUGAGGGGACUGACUCCACGGGGGGCAGGGCCCUGGAGUGUGUGGCAGGAACAGGGCAGGGAAAGAAGAGGCUAAGGAGACAGCGGCUCAGGAGUUGUGCUCAACUCAGCUUUGCCCUGCGGUGACACACAGGAGAGGAAGGAGAGGUGAGAAACAAGAAGUCCAGGGUUAUUUGUUGGUUUGUUUGUUUGCAGUACAGAGGCUCAAAUGCAGGGUAUGCUACCACUGAGCUACAUCCCCAGCCUUUUUUAUUUUGGGACAAAGUCUCAUUCUUUAGCACAGGCUGGCCUCAAACUUGCAAUCCUCCUACCUCAGCCUACAGGUGCUAAGAUCGCAGACUUUGCACCUCCUCCACGCCCAGCUAAGCCCAGGCUGUGCCCCCCCCCCCACUAUUCCUGGGCUGGUGCCCUCGCUGGCUCCAUGGUGUCCAAAGACGCAGCUGUGGCUCUCCCCCUCAGGGGACUGAGAAGUGUUCUUGGGAUUUGCGGGUCCUACAGAAAUUCCAACUGGGGUGCAACUGAGUACCGAGCGCCUGCCUGGUGUACAAGAAAUCUUGGGUACCCUUCCCAGCACUAGGGGCGGGGUGUAGCACCAGAGGCACUGCAGCCCCUUCCUGGGAGAGGACCUACUCCCCUGAGCCAGGCUGCCAGCCCUGCCCAGCAGCACCUGAGGGCACGGGAGCUCCUCCUCCUUCCCCCAUGCUGUCCCUUUGUGGGGAGCAGGGCAAUCCUGUUUGGCCGAACGCCAGUGCCACCCUGUGCUGUGCUCUCUGGGAGGCACCUGUACCCCUGUCCUCGUCACUGCUUCCAGAAGCAUCCUGAGACCAGCAAGGGCCAGGGACAGCAGGGCUGAGCCAGGGCUCCUACGCAUGCGUAUACUCGCGCAUGUGUGCGUGAAUGUGCACGCACAUGCAGGUGCAUGUGUGUGUGCAGGUGAACAUGUGCGCACACACAGCAGAUAGUGCCAAGGGCUGUGCAGGAAAGGACAGUAUGUCAGGCACAGUGUGGCCCACUGUCACCCCAGCACGGUGGGAGGCCGAGGCUGGAAAAUGUCAAGUCUGAACCCAAUUUGGGUCGACUCAGUGACUUGGUAAGGCCCUGUCUCAAAACAUAAAGACCUGGGGAUGCAGCUCAGUGGGAAGGUCCAGUAUGGGGCGGGGGAGAGGAGGGACCUAAAGCACGAUUAGCCACAAGGUCCCUCUGAGGAGACACUCAGGCUGGGACCGGAAUGACAGGAUUCUCAGGCAAGGAGAACAGCACCUGCCUCUUCCAGACCCAGCCCUGCGCACCCAGCCCCAGGCAGGAAGGGGGUCAAACUCCGCUCUGGCGGGGUAGGAUUCAGAAUGCACACCUGGCAGUCUGGGCUCCGUCCCCAGGACCACGCGCACACGCACACGCAUGCAUACGCAUGCGCACACAGGUAGCGUCGCCUUGGAUAGUCACGGGUUCCACAUCUUCAGGUUCAACCAACCAGACCAAAAACAAAAAGAGGAAACAGACCCCACUUGCACUGAACCUGAACCUGCAGACUUUUUAAGGAUGGUUCCCCGAACAGCACAGGCCGCCACCAGCCAGCCCCACAGCACUCUUCGCCAGGUCUCCCCGUUCGUUCUGGGCCCCUGAGCGGCACAGGCAGGGGCGCAGGGUCUGGGAACCCAGGAAACUGUCCUCUGAGCACCAAAAUGCUGUUCCGAACCCCAAAACUUCCUAGGUAGCCCCCUACCUAGGAAAGGCCCACCUGGAAACUGGCUUUCCCUGCCACCGAGCCUCGGCCUGCACCCCGCUUCCCGUGGCACAGUUCCUGCACCAUGGAGCCCCAGGGGCCGGCGGGGAGCCCCCUUCCUCGUAUCCCCAGGCUCUGCUCCAGGAAGAGUCCAGUCUGAGCAAGGGGCAGGGACAUGACAGCACCCGCCUGCUCAUGCAGCGCAGCUGGGAGCACCUGAAAAGGGCCUUUGUCCCGGAUGGAGCUGGGAACCACUCAGGGCCUGUCCCCAACUGAUGGGGGGGGGGGGGUGGACUGUUGCAGGAGUCCAUCUGUUUCACGCUGCUGCUCUUGGACAGCUAAAACUUUCAAGAACUGUCAGAGAAGGAAACCUCAGCACCCCCAAGAUAAAGUCCAUGGUCCCUCGGAUGUACAGGGCCUUGCCCGCCAGCCUUCACUCCCAUGGGGGUCACCCUGAGCCUACUCCGGGGCAGGAGCCAGGCAUAGAGUCCCUCCUUGUUGCAGGGAGCAGUGGGGGGACACUUGCCUCCCAGGUGCCAGGACCUGGCUCUCAUCCCCGGGACUGGCGAGCCCAGAGGAUGCAAGGAGCUUGAGCCCCAGCCCUGGGUGGCUCCCUGCUUCCUCCCACCCCCAGCCCCCUGCUCAUCUCCAGGUCCCACCCAUCUUGUAACAGGGCAUAGCACCGCAGGCUGCAAUCCCAGCCCCAGGGAGGCUGAGACAGGAGAAUCACUGGAGCACAGGUGAAGGCCACCCUGUACUGCACAGCAAGACUCUGUGUCUCAGAAAGCCGAAAAGAAGCUCUCCACCUUCCCUGAGUGCCUGGGCCGCAUGGGACAGAGCUGAGGCGUCAGCUUCUCAGGAAGCUGAGGCGGAGGAAUCAUGUGAACACAGGAGUUUAGCUCAGCGGGGAAACACAAGGAGCCCCUGUCUGUCAAGCGUGUGCACACUCUGUUUUGUUUUGCGCGUGUAUUGCAGCACCAGGGAUCGAGCCCAGGGAUUGCCCUCACCCACCACUGAGCUACAUCCUCACCCUUAUUUUUUUUUUUUUGACAUUAAAAUUGCACAGGGUCUGCACACUGCAACUGUUCUGUAAAACAGAUCCAGUGCACAAUGUAUGUACCAUUGUUGCCCAUGAUGUUUUGAAAUUUUGUUUUUGCUUUUUUCUCUUUGAAAUAAAAUGGAUUUGAAAAAAUAACAACAGUAGGUGCCUUAAAAAAAAAAAACAACAGGCAAAGUGGUGCAGUCCUAAGCCCGGCACUCAGGAGUCUGAGGCAGGAGGAUCGCCAAGAAUUCGAGGCCAGGGCUGGGGAUUUAGCUCAGCAGCAUAAGCGUCUGCCUUGCAAGCACACGGCUGUGAGUUCGAUCCCAGUACCGCCAAAAAAAAAAGAAUUCGAGGCCAGCCUGGGCUACAUAGUGAGACUCGGUCUCAAAAAAAAAUCCAGUACACUUUCGUGGCUAGCUGGUCCCAACCUUACCUCACGUGCACUGAAUGGCUCGCCGAAGCAGAGUCCACUCUAGGACACAGACACUCUGGCAGCCGCCGUCCUCCCCCUCUGUCCCCAGCCCCAGCGUUCCAGGGACAGGAGCACCUCUGACAAAGGAGGUGGCAGGACAAACCCGAGCCCAGACCAGCUCUGCUGUCAGGCUGUGAGGCGCAGUGAACGCACCCGGUGCCCUGUGCGGUCCUCGCCUGGAAAGCAAAAGGGACACAAAUACCCACCCUCCCCCACCACGUGCUCCAGGGACCUGGGCUGUGCCGCUACAGGACCAGGACCUGAAUCCCAGCACUCUGGGAGGCUGAGGCAGAAAGAAAGCAAAGCCUGCCUGGGCAGCAGAAGUGACUCCCUGAGAUCCUGUCUCAACAUAAAAUAUUUUUUAAGAAUUUUCUAAAGGACUGGGAAUGUAGCUCAGUGCAAAGGCCCUCGGUUCAGUCCCCAGAAGAGUGAAUGAAUGAAAGAAUAUAAAUGGAUGGAACCGACGCCAGCAGCCACCGCUCACAACACCCCCGCUGUGUGGGACUGGUCCUUCCCCGGAGUGGGCCACCUAGGUCUGGGCCUUCCUCAGCCAGGAUGUGGCCUCAGGCAAGGUCCUUGUCUCUCUGAGUUCCAGCUGCCUUCUUUACAAAACAGGGGUUCAAAAAGCAGCUCUUGGGAUCCUCAGGAGGAUGCAAUUGGGCGGGGACGCAGCUCAGGCAAGCCCAAGGUCCAAGGUCGUGAGUUCGAUUCCCAGAGCCAAAGAAAGAAAAAAAAGAAUAAUCCAAACCAUGGUCUGUCCCUUCUACUCUAAAGAGAAAAGGGGGUGGCUCAGUGAUAGAACCCUGGGUUCCAUCCCCACCCAGUCCCCCCAAAAAGAAGGAAAAGCGACCACAGGAGGAGGAGGACUUGUACCAGGGCCCAUCCUGUGUCCAAAUGCACCGUACAGCAUUUUCCCAAGCUCUGUGCAGUGCAGAGUGCAGGAAAGUACGACAGAGAAUCGGUCCUCAACCUCCAGGUGUGACACCUGCCGGGGGCAACAGGCACCAGGAAUCCAGGUGCUGCAGCGCCCACCUGCAGUCCAGGGGGGCUGUCACCGAAAGCCCUCACAGGUCCACCAUAAACCAUACACAGAAACCCCCUUGACAGGUUUUUGGUUUUUGAGACCAGGUCUCACUGGGGAGCCCAGGCUGGCUCCAACUUGUGCCAAUCCUCCUGCCUCAGCCUCCCCAGUGCUAGGGUUACAGGCUGACGCUGCCAUGCCCGGCUGCCUGUUUGUCUGUUGUUGUUGUUGUGUGUGGGCUGUGCUCCGUCUCACAAUGAUCCUCCUGCCUCAGCCUCCUAAUAAUGAGAUUACAGAUAGGUGUGCGCCACUGUGCCUGGUAGGUUUUUAAAAUCUAGGGAAUCUUCUAUAACUUGGAUAUUUGGUGGCUUUCACCUCCAAGGAGCGACGUAGACAGGCUCAGGGAGGAUACCUAAUCUAGCCAGAGGUAGUGACAGGGCCAGGAUUGGGCCCUGGUCCUACCCAAGGUACACACACCCAUGACACCAUGACCCACAGGUCUCCUUUCUCCUCCACUGUCCCCCUCCUACCCAGUUCUCACACCAAACGGUUGCUUCUAGACCAGGAGCCUGCUUCCAGAACUGGGCAUAGUGGUACCACGCCUGUUAUCCCAGAAUUCAGGAGGCCGAGGCAGGUGGAUCACCUCAAAUUCAAGGCAGCCUGGACCAUGCAGGAAGACCUUGUCUCAAAACAAACAAACAAAAAGAACUUUCAUCCUUAUGAAAGUUGAUGCAGGAACUUGCCAAAAAAAUAAGAUGAUGAACCCAUCAAAAACUGCUCACAAGAUGGAAACCAACAAGCCUGGCAAGGACAAGGCCCCGAGUUCGAUUUCUGAUACCAAAAAAAAAAAAAAAAAAGAUGCGAA
Cavia porcellus (domestic guinea pig) is the source of this 7032-nucleotide RNA transcript. RefSeq lists it as uncharacterized. The record is from RefSeq and is a predicted model, not a curated record. Lineage: Eukaryota; Metazoa; Chordata; Mammalia; Rodentia; Caviidae. The transcript has 3 exons.